RNAcentral lists this ribosomal RNA (419 nucleotides) under bacterium. RNAcentral's name for it is "partial 16S ribosomal RNA". It matches the Rfam family "Bacterial small subunit ribosomal RNA", at positions 355 to 776 of the family's 1533-position model. The record is from RNAcentral.
UGGGGGAUAUUGCACAAUGGGCGAAAGCCUGAUGCAGCGACGCCGCGUGGGGGAUGAAGGCCUUCGGGUUGUAAACUUCUUUUGCUCUGAACAAGGCAUGCUAAUGGGUGUGUUGAGUGUAGGGGUUGAUUAGCGCCGGCUAACUACGUGCCAGCAGCCGCGGUAAUACGUAGGGCGCGAGCGUUGUCCGGAAUUAUUGGGCGUAAAGGGCUUGUAGGUGGCUGGUUGCGUCUGUCGUGAAAGCUCAUGGCUUAACUGUGGGUUUGCGGUGGGUACGGGCUGGCUUGAGUGCAGUAGGGGAGGCUGGAAUUCCUGGUGUAGCGGUGGAAUGCGCAGAUAUCAGGAGGAAUACCGGUGGCGAAGGCGUGUCUCUGGGCUGUUACUGACACUGAGGAGCGAAAGCAUGGGGAGCGAACAGG